GAACACGCCGCUCCGUACAAAUGAACACGAUGAAGCGUUGUGCGGAGC
Regulatory RNA element from Paenibacillus macerans, 48 nucleotides. It matches the Rfam family "uup RNA". The record is from Rfam. NCBI's taxonomy places the organism in Bacteria, Bacillati, Bacillota, Bacilli, Caryophanales, Paenibacillaceae.